RNAcentral lists this long non-coding RNA (2215 nucleotides) under Homo sapiens (human). RNAcentral describes it as "HSALNT0221212". Lineage: Eukaryota; Metazoa; Chordata; Mammalia; Primates; Hominidae. The record is from RNAcentral.
GCCACCCCGUCUGGGAAGUAAGGAGCGUCUCUGCCUGGCCGCCCAUCGUCUGGGAUAUGAGGAGCCCCUCUGCCUGGCUGCCCAGUCUGGAAAGUGAGGAGCAUCUCUGCCCGGCCGCCAUCCCAUCUAGAAGUGAGGAGCGCCUCUUCCCGGCCGGCCGCCAUCACAUCUAGGAAGUGAGAAGCGUCUCUGCCCGGCCGCCCAUCGUCUGAGAUGUGGGGAGCGCCUCUGUCCCGCCGCCCCGUCUGGGAGGUGAGGAGCGCCUCUGCCCGGCCGCGACCCCGUCUGGGAGGUGAAGAGCGUCUCUGCCCGGCCGCCCCGUCUGAGAAGUGAGGAGCCCCUCCGCCCGGCAGCCGCCCUGUCUGAGAAGUGAGGAGCCUCUCCGCCCGGCAGCCACCCCGUCUGGGAAGUGAGGAGCGUCUCCGCCUGGCAGCCACCCCGUCCGGGAGGGAGGUGGGGGGGUCAGCCCCCUGCCUGGCCAGCCGCCCCGUCCGGGAGGGAGGUGGGGGGGGGUCAGCCCCCCGCCCGGCCGGCCGCCCCGUCCGGGAGGUGAGGGGCGCCUCUGCCCGGCCGCCCCUACUGGGAAGUGAGGAGCCCCUCUGCCCGGCCAGCCGCCCCGUCCGGGAGGGAGAAAUCAUCCAUGACUUCCUGCAAUGGAAGAUGAGGACACAGCUAAGUAUGAACAUUCAUCUUUUGAGGGCCACACAGGCACAAAUGUUACAGCUACAAGAGGAAAGAAGGUCACAACUGAGGAAAAGGGGCUGAGGGAACUCAAAAAAUACUGCAACUGGCAACAGAGACCACCAUCAAGGGAUAAAAUUACUUCAGCACCUACACACAAAACGCAGAGCAGCUGGAGAAAGGGGCAUGGGAAAAAAAGGCUGCUCAAGAGCAAACCUGAAGACCCUGUUUAUUAGCCAUUUCUCUCCCUGCAAGUGACUGGCAAUCCAUUUUGACUGAACUUGGGAUUCUGAGAUGCUCCGAAUGCCCUCUCUGGUGUUUUUACAGUUGAGGGGAGAAGAGGGUCUGUUCUCCAGGUAAUCUAACACCUCAAGGCUCUGGAUGAUGCAUUAUGCAUGGUUCAUGCAAGACACUGCAGAAAUCCAAUCAGGAGAUGCACACAAGAAAAAACCUUGGCCCUACAUCAAAACAGUAGCAACAAAUGUGGAGUCCUGAGAACUAGUUGCCCCUGGGCUAUGGAGAAAGGGAGCUAAUAAAAUGACCAUGGUGGCAUCAUCAUCAAUAUAGGAACCCGGUGAAUGACUACAUUCGGAUCGCCUUCCUACCAGGGAGACAUAGAUUCACAGCUACAAAUGCCUAAAAAUAGGUAAACGUUUUAUUUCCAUUUUUUAAAAUUCAUCAAUCUUCCCUCCAUUUUCUAUUUGUCACCAGUCACUCUAGCAACAGAAACAAAAUGUUGUUUCCUCCAAGGCCCCUCUAGCUCUUGGUGUUUAUUCCUCAAUAUCCGUGGCCAUAAUCCUCAGGCUGAUGACAUCAGUUGUAUCUGAGGGGCCAGCCGUGAGGCUAGAAGGUGGGAACGUGGAAACUGCUAAAGGAACUUGUGCACAUGGCCUUCGAUAGGUGGCGGAAGAGAAGGGGAAGCUUCCCGAGGUUCCUGAGGAAGGAAGCCAGACUGGUGGGGUAAAAGCAGGCCCUGAGGAACACCCGGCAGUAUGACUCAUUUGGAGAAUACAGAACUAAGUAGGUGGUAGAAACUGCUCAGAGCCGUCCUCAGCCUCAGGCUCACAAUGUGUGGCACACUGCAGGACACGGCGUCACCUUGUAAAGGUUCCCUGGGAUUCGCUAACCCAAGGGCAGAGGUUUGCUUUUUGGGGGGUUAACAACUCAGUAUAGACCAAACAGCAUAUUGGCCAGGCAUUCUCUGCCACCAGAAGAAAAGUUAAGUUUUCUUCUUACUCAAAGGCAUACUCUGGUCCCAACUACUUUCCACCAAAGUGAAACUGGGGUCAAGGGCCAAAGAAGCCUCUCCGUUAUCCUCUCCCUGCAAUACACUUGAAACAAUACAAUGAAUGCACAAUACCAAGAAUGGCCUGCUGGACACAUCUCAUGCUGACUGGCACAUCCUACAGGAAAGCUCAUGUCCUCCCCACAACCCCCACACUGGCGUUCACACCUUGGCCCUACUGGAGCGGUUUUUUUUUUGGUUUUUUUUUUUACUUUCCUCUUCACUAAGACGAAGUAGAAGGAAAAAAAG